AUGAGGAAGUGGUGGUGGAAAUGGAAUGCAAGGGUGGCUGGGACACACUGCUCUGUGCUGACACCCACCACUAUGCCGUGGGUCUGCUGGCCAGGUGAGACCCCCUUUUCCCCACGGCCUCUGACAUUUGUGCCCCAUGCUGAGGUUGCCCAACACAGUCCCCACUGUCGUGGGCCAGAGGGCCUCAUCACCGAGGGACGGCUAAGGAGACUGGAAAAGGCUGCGAGAGGAGGGUGCCCACAAGGAGUCACCUCCCAAAGGGCCCAAGUCCCCUUGCAGGAUGGUGGUCAAAGAUCAGAACUCUGUGAAUCAGUCCUGGGAGAUGUUUGUCCCCCUGGCUCACAGUCUUGGCUACUUUUUCACCCUGGCAGGGAGAUGUCGUCUGCCUCUAUACCCUUGUGUUCCCACAUCGUUCCCUACCUGCUCCAGCUGCUCAGCACACAGGAGGCACGCUGGGAUCUGCCUGCCCUGGCAUUCCUUGUGGAGAUCCUGGACUACCUGGACUUGAGCGAACGCAGCACUAACAGAGUCCUGGAAAUCUUCUCAAGGCACCUGUGGAGUGAGAGCAGGGACAAGCGUCACCUGGUGUUCAGGGCCCUUUUUAAGUUGAUUGACAAUCCCUUGAUGGUGAGAAGUGGGCAGUGGCUGAAGCUGCACCGGGGAACGCAGUCACUUGGGCUUGGCUGGGCUUUGGGCACCGAGGGAGCUGCUCCCAGCUCUCCUGCCUCCUGCUUCAGUUGCCUGAGUGCUUUGGGACAGGCCAUUGGCCUCUUAGCUCUGUGGCAGCAGGGUGGGGUUUCACAGACUUGUCUUCCACACAGGCUGAAAAAAUGCGGAGCCUGACUGAAAGUCUUGUAGAUCUCCUGUGGGAUGCAGAUGGAGAGAUAGUUAGGAUGACACUCAUGGUGCUCAGCUUUAUAGAGUUGGACAAGGACAUGCUGAUACCCAGCCCCAUGGCCCUGCAGCUGGCUGAGACGCUCCUGCCACUCUUUGACCACGUAAGGCUCUGUGCCCCCAGCCGACGCCACUGGGUGCUGCCUGGACACUUGGUGCCCUGUGGAUUCUCAGGCCUGUGCCCUGCUGAGCCCCAUGCAGACAGGGCUGAGGUCUUUUUUCCUUCCUUUCAUAUAGGAUAAUAGCCAGGUGCAGCUGGUGUCCAUAUUACUCUUCUGAUCAUUGAUGACUCUUCUAACAGAAAAGGAAAAAAAGGCCCUGAAGUCACACAUGCACCAGAGCCUGCUGCCACUCUUCAUCCACUGCCAUGAGGAGAACCAGGAGGUGGCAGAGGUGAGGACUCCUGGGCUGCUGCUGUCACCUGGGGAGGGGGCUCGGCCGCCUCCUGCCCUGGCCCCUUGCCGGCUGCAGCCUCCUCCAGGCCUUGGCACACGAAUGCGGGUCCUGUGUCCUGACUUGUGGGGCCAUCUGCGGGUCUCUGCUACUCUCCAGGCUUCUUGGGCAAUGCUGCUUUGUGCGGCUGAGUUCCUGAAGAGGAGAGAUCUUGAAAGACCUGUGAAGAAGAAGAAGAAGCUGUGGAUGAUCACUGAGUACCUGGUAAGGAUGGCUUGGAAGGCCCAGCCUCAGCCUAGAGAAGCCCCCUGUCCCCGGCGCUCGGUGUGUGGGGUUGGCAGCUGUGGCCCUGCCCAGAGCCGCACCCGGGAGCCGCACGGCUUCUUCUCUGAGUUCCUGUGGCCCUGAGCCGGGUGCCGAUAGAGCCCCGGCCCAGCGGGGCUGCGGGCCAGGCCGGCACCGCGGCUCCCCAGGCAGCAGCCGGCCCUCUGCCCCCUCCAGAGCCCGGCGCCAGCGGCUGCUGGCCGGGCCUCAGGGCUGGCCGGGCACGGGAGGCCAGGACUGGCCGCAGGCAGCAGUGCCCGGCCGAGGGGCAGAGCCCGCGCCAACCCUUCCCUCCUGCCUCUCUCUCCAGCUGGCACAGGACGAGGGGCGAGCAUCUGAGCACCUGCGCCAGGCCCUGCAGUACCUGCAGAGCCUACAGGAGCCCCUGCGAGCGGCCGCCAUCAGAGUCAUCGGUGAGUCACGAGCCCGGGCUCCCUCCUCGCCCCGCAACAGCUCGGCCCCAGCCCCGGCUGCUGCCCCGGCAGCGGCACCCGGGCCCAGCGCCCUGGAGCCCCGGCUGGCCUCGGGGCUACUGCUGCCAGCCUCUGGCAGCCGUGCCCUUGGGCUGAGUCAAGAUGCGGCAAGGGCCCGGGCUGAGCCCUGCCAGGGCAGGAGGCCGUGUGGCAACAGGGCUGGCAGCGCCGCUGGCAGGGAGCUGUGCUGCUGGGGCCCUGACAGGCUCUGUGUUCCCAGGGAUGACCGGGCGGCUUCUGAGGGGGAAGAAGGAAGAGCUGCAGCUCAUUUACAAAUGUGAGUGAGGGCAGCCGGCUGGGGGGCUGGCGGGUGGAGCUGCAAGCCCUGGCCUGGCUGUGGAGGGCUCUGCUCCCUGUGCUGAUGAGGGGUCGCGUGAGCAGAGCACACCGAGACUUCAGGGCCACGUGGGGCAUUUGUGGCCAGCAGCUUUGGGCUGAUCCCCUUGGUCCCUGGUCCCUGCUGGCAAUGGCAAGAGCUGGCUUGUUACACGUAUUUAUAGUGUUAUGAUUGUAAUUGUUAGUCUGUUGGUAUGUUCUUGUUCUCCCCUAUUAACUGUGUUGGUUUUGACCCCAGAUGUCAAUUAUGUAGACCCUCCCCUUAUUCUCAAACCUUCCCUGCCCGUCACCCUGGCCUGCCCUAAUCCCCUAUCCAUCAUUGUAAACCCGACCCUUUCUUCCAGAACCUUCCAUGCUCCUCACCCCUAGUUCAGUUCCCGAUUGGUUCCCUAGUUGCCGUCCCGCCCAUGACAUGUCCCUAUUGGUUCCCAGUAGUGUAACCACCUCCCCUCACUCCUCCUCCCCUGAUCCCUCAUUGGACCCUGAGUUGUACCCUCCCCUGGGGAUCGAGCGGUAUAUAACGUAUAUAACCUGUGCACAGCUGUGUUGGGGGCUCUCCUUCCUCGUCGGGUUGUGAGUUGCAGGGGUUCAGGCUAGCCUGUCUUCCUACUCAUGUUGGUAUUUUUGUCAUUGAAUAAAGGUUUGGUUACUUCUUUUAACA
RNAcentral lists this long non-coding RNA (3081 nucleotides) under Parus major (Great Tit). RNAcentral's name for it is "lncRNA (ENSPMJG00000013283.1)". Lineage: Eukaryota; Metazoa; Chordata; Aves; Passeriformes; Paridae. The record is from RNAcentral.